CCCCUUUUCAGACCGGCUGCGCCCGCCUAUAUUGGGCCUGUCUCCGAAAGGGGACUAUGGCGAUAAACGCGCACGUAAUAAGCGGAUCGGACCCGGGGGCGGUACCCGGCGGCUCCACCAGAAACCCGAUCGUUGGCGGGCACAAGGGGCCGAAACAGGAUCGACGGACGUGUAAAGGUGUCGCUUUCGCCCGGUGAGCUACCACCGUUAUCGGUGCAAGACGCACAAUUGCCAACGACAAUCGUGCUCCGGUGGCGAUGGCCGCUUGAUGCGGUCGGAGACACCGACAUCUAAGCCCUGAGCCGUAGCAGGUUCAGGCGGGGUUCGCAGGCACCUGGCAACAGAAGCCUGCAUC
Molecule: transfer-messenger RNA, 355 nt
Filed under: Alphaproteobacteria bacterium
Lineage: Bacteria; Pseudomonadati; Pseudomonadota; Alphaproteobacteria
Rfam family: Alphaproteobacteria transfer-messenger RNA
About the family: Bacterial tmRNA, also known as 10Sa RNA or SsrA, is named for its dual tRNA and mRNA-like properties.
Source: RNAcentral